AUGAACGCUGGCGGCGUGCUUAACACAUGCAAGUCGAACGGAAAGGCCCAAGCUUGCUUGGGUACUCGAGUGGCGAACGGGUGAGUAACACGUGGGUGAUCUGCCCUGCACUUCGGGAUAAGCCUGGGAAACUGGGUCUAAUACCGGAUAGGACCACAUUUUGGAUGGUGUGGUGGAAAGUUUUUCGGUGUGGGAUGAGCUCGCGGCCUAUCAGCUUGUUGGUGGGGUAAUGGCCUACCAAGGCGUCGACGGGUAGCCGGCCUGAGAGGGUGUACGGCCACAUUGGGACUGAGAUACGGCCCAGACUCCUACGGGAGGCAGCAGUGGGGAAUAUUGCACAAUGGGCGCAAGCCUGAUGCAGCGACGCCGCGUGGGGGAUGACGGCCUUCGGGUUGUAAACUCCUUUCGCUAGGGACGAAGCGUUUUUGUGACGGUACCUGGAGAAGAAGCACCGGCUAACUACGUG
RNAcentral lists this ribosomal RNA (466 nucleotides) under uncultured bacterium. RNAcentral describes it as "partial 16S ribosomal RNA". It matches the Rfam family "Bacterial small subunit ribosomal RNA", at positions 29 to 507 of the family's 1533-position model. The record is from RNAcentral.